Small nucleolar RNA from Lathyrus oleraceus (garden pea), 107 nucleotides. The record is from RefSeq and is a predicted model, not a curated record. Lineage: Eukaryota; Viridiplantae; Streptophyta; Magnoliopsida; Fabales; Fabaceae.
AGGCCAUGAUGUGGACAAAGUCUCAUCAUGUCCCUGUAUCUUUCCCAUGCUUCAAAGAUUGAUUCUCCAUCCUUCUGUCUAAAUCCAUUAAUUUGGCUCCUUAGCAU